Molecule: long non-coding RNA, 248 nt
Filed under: Salvia miltiorrhiza (redroot sage)
Lineage: Eukaryota; Viridiplantae; Streptophyta; Magnoliopsida; Lamiales; Lamiaceae
Description: long non-coding RNA (SMIL_LNC011765)
Source: RNAcentral
AAUAAGGGCGAUGAGUGAAUCUAAACUACACAUAAGUGAGGUAUUGAGCCUAAUAGAGUAGAGCACUCUCUACUAAUUUUUGUUUUGAGAGAUUUGAUGAUCCAUGAAGUCGUGAUAUCAAGUGUGUCAUAUGUGGUGAAUGAUAAGAGGCACUAGGGUAGCCAUUUGGCCUGCUUUUGAAUUCCUACCCAUACACUAACCCCUAGUGAGCCAUGUUUGAGCCUUGCCGUGAUUGUUCAUAUUAGUCA